Molecule: non-coding RNA, 91 nt
Organism: Abortiporus biennis
Lineage: Eukaryota; Fungi; Basidiomycota; Agaricomycetes; Polyporales; Podoscyphaceae
Source: the annotation of a GenBank genome assembly
GCAUUAAUGGGGUAGUGGUAACCUGGGUCGUUGCCAUUCGAGUAGUAACUACUAACUCGACCCGCCGGGGGUUCGAUUCCCUCUUAAUGCA